UAUAGUAUUUUGAGUUUGAUACAUACAUUUCACGGCAUAUGUAGUUUGAGAAAUAAGAUAUUGGUAGAUUUAAAUAUAGUUUGUACAUGGAGUAUACUUAUCUUUUUUGUCUAUCUAAAUCAUUUUUCUUGUUUGAUGAGCUCAUAAAAGGUGCAUUAUGUGCUUACUUAGGGAAUUAUAUGACUCUCUAUAAUGAUGUACACAAAUUAUAGACGAGUCUUUAUGUUGCCUUGAAGAAAGUGGGUUAAAAAAAUACAUGGGCAUUUUCUUCUUUUAUUUUGUCAUGCAUAUUUUUGGUGAUGAAUGCAUAUAGAUACUUGAUCCUUUUUCUAUUUUUUAAGAUUUGAAUUCAGGGAUGAAUUCUUUUUUCUUUAAAAGGGAAGAGCUAUGAUGCAGUUGGGACCCGGGAGGAAGACUGGUACGUGAAGAGGUCCUCACUUCGAAAGGGCAGACCAGACUAUAGAAAUAUGGAUAUUAUUUAGGUACUUUUAUGUUUCAAUUGAGCUCUCCUGCAGCAUUUAGGCCAAACAUGAACUGCCUCGAGUACAGAAGUGGUAGAAGAUGGAUUCCCUUCUCCAUAUUUUAAUACUAGAAGGUUUGGACUUGCUGAUCCCAAAGUUCAAAAAAGAUUGGUCGCACAGCUUCGGGAGCUCCUCAGUUUGACGAUGGAAAAAAGCAUGACAUCUUACCAGCUGAAUUUUUGCUUUGCUUAAUCAAACAUUAUGGGGUAACUUUAUAGCUCUCACGGGCAAAAGAGGUAUUGAUUCAUGUGCAAGAGUUUCUUCAUAGUAAGUUUAAUGAGAAUACUGGUUGAUGAGACAAUCAUGUUUUAUUUGCAAUUCGGAAGGAUUAUUACAAUGGCCUUGAGCCUUAUCAAUAGAGGAGAAAAGGUUGGUCAAAGUGUAUUAUUUUCUGCAUCAUUCAUUACAGGUCCUAGGAAUAUGUGACGAAUUGAUCAUUUACAUAUACUUGUAUUUUAUUCUUCUGUGUA
Non-coding RNA from Nicotiana tabacum (common tobacco), 991 nucleotides. NCBI's taxonomy places the organism in Eukaryota, Viridiplantae, Streptophyta, Magnoliopsida, Solanales, Solanaceae. The record is from RefSeq and is a predicted model, not a curated record.